RNAcentral lists this ribosomal RNA (441 nucleotides) under uncultured bacterium. RNAcentral describes it as "bacterial SSU rRNA". It matches the Rfam family "Bacterial small subunit ribosomal RNA", at positions 338 to 795 of the family's 1533-position model. The record is from RNAcentral.
CCUACGGGUGGCAGCAGUGGGGAAUAUUGCACAAUGGGGGAAACCCUGAUGCAGCAACGCCGCGUGAGCGAUGAAGGACGUCGGGUCGUAAAGCUCUGUCCUAAGGGAAGAAUACUUACGGUACCUUAGGAGGAAGCCCCGGCUAACGACGUGCCAGCAGCCGCGGUAAGACGUAGGGGGCAAGCGUUAUCCGGAAUCACUGGGUGUAAAGGGUGCGUAGGCGGUAGGGCAAGUCAGAUGUGAAAGCCCGGGGCUCAACCCCGGGAUUGCAUUUGAAACUGUCUUACUAGAGUGCAGGAGAGGAAAGCGCGAUGCCUAGUGUAGCGGUGAAAUGCGUAGAUAGUAGGAAGAACACCAGCUGCGAAGGCGGCUCUCCGGACUGUAACUGACGCUGAGGCACGAAAGCGUGGGGAGCGAACAGGAUUAGAUACCCUGGUAGUC